This 74-nucleotide transfer RNA is filed under the name Nitrospinota bacterium. Its description in RNAcentral is "tRNA-Arg". It matches the Rfam family "tRNA". Rfam says of the family: Transfer RNA (tRNA) molecules are approximately 80 nucleotides in length. Their secondary structure includes four short double-helical elements and three loops (D, anti-codon, and T loops). Lineage: Bacteria; Pseudomonadati; Nitrospinota. The record is from RNAcentral.
GCCCCCGUAGCUCAGAUGGAUAGAGCGAUGGAUUCCUAAUCCAUAGGUCGUGCGUUCGAGUCGCGCCGGGGGCA